AUUGAACGCUGGCGGCAUGCUUUACACAUGCAAGUCGAACGGCAGCACGAGUGCUUGCACUUGGUGGCGAGUGGCGAACGGGUGAGUAAUGCAUCGGAACGUACCGUGUAGUGGGGGAUAACGUAGCGAAAGUUACGCUAAUACCGCAUACGCCCCGAGGGGGAAAUGGGGGACCGCAAGGCCUCACGCUAUAUGAGCGGCCGAUGUCGGAUUAGCUAGUUGGUAGGGUAAAGGCCUACCAAGGCGACGAUCCGUAGCGGGUCUGAGAGGAUGAUCAGCCACACUGGGACUGAGACACGGCCCAGACUCCUACGGGAGGCAGCAGUGGGGAAUAUUGGACAAUGGGCGAAAGCCUGAUCCAGCCAUGCCGCGUGAGUGAUGAAGGCCUUAGGGUUGUAAAGCUCUUUCAGUAGGGAAGAGUAAAUGACGGUACCUACAGAAGAAGCCCCGGCUAACUUCGUGCCAGCAGCCGCGGUAAA
Molecule: ribosomal RNA, 479 nt
Filed under: uncultured bacterium
Lineage: Bacteria
Description: bacterial SSU rRNA
Rfam family: Bacterial small subunit ribosomal RNA
Source: RNAcentral